CCAAUAGCGUAUAUUAAAGUUGUUGCAGUUAAAAAGCUCGUAGUUGAAUUUCGGGGUUAGUAGGUUGGUCAUUCCUCCGGUAUGUACUGGUCUCACUGAUUCCUCCUUCCUGAUGAACCGUAAUGCCAUUAAUUUGGUGUUUCGGGGAAUUUGGACUGUUACUUUGAAAAAAUUAGAGUUUUUAAAGCAAGCUAACGCUUGACUACAUUAGCAUGGAAUAAUGAAAUAGGACGUUCGAUCCUAUUUUGUUGGUUUCUAGGAUUGACGUAAUGAUUAAUAGGGAUGGUUGGGGGCAUUAGUAUUCAAUUGUCAGAGGUGAAAUUCUUGGAUUUAUUGAAGACUAACUACUGCGAAAGCAUUUGCCAAGGAUGUUUUCAUUAAUCAAGAACGAAAGUUAGGGGAGCGAAGACGAUCAGAUACCGUCGUAGUCUUAACCAUAAACUAUGCCGACUAGGGAUCGGAUGAUGUUAAUUUUUUAAUGACUCAUUCGGCGCCUUACG
Molecule: ribosomal RNA, 500 nt
Filed under: uncultured Glomeromycotina
Lineage: Eukaryota; Fungi; Glomeromycota
Description: partial small subunit ribosomal RNA
Rfam family: Eukaryotic small subunit ribosomal RNA
Source: RNAcentral